RNAcentral lists this ribosomal RNA (485 nucleotides) under uncultured bacterium. Its description in RNAcentral is "bacterial SSU rRNA". It matches the Rfam family "Bacterial small subunit ribosomal RNA", at positions 29 to 512 of the family's 1533-position model. The record is from RNAcentral.
AUUGAACGCUGGCGGCAUGCCUAACACAUGCAAGUCGAACGGCAGCACGGCAGUAGCAAUACUGUGGGUGGCGAGUGGCGGACGGGUGAGGAAUACGUCGGAAUCUGCCCAGUCGUGGGGGAUAACUAGCCGAAAGGUUAGCUAAUACCGCAUACGACCGAGAGGUGAAAGCGGGGGACCGCAAGGCCUCGCGCGAUUGGAUGAGCCGACGUCGGAUUAGCUAGUUGGAGGGGUAAAGGCCCACCAAGGCGACGAUCCGUAGCUGGUCUGAGAGGAUGAUCAGCCGCACUGGCACUGCGACACGGGCCAGACUCCUACGGGAGGCAGCAGUAAGGAAUAUUGCGCAAUGGGCGAAAGCCUGACGCAGCGACGCCGCGUGGGGGAUGAAGGUCUUCGGAUUGUAAACCCCUUUCGGGAGGGAAGAUGGAGCGAGCAAUCGUUCGGACGGUACCUCCAGAAGCAGCCACGGCCAACUUCGUGCCAGC